RNAcentral lists this unclassified non-coding RNA (1216 nucleotides) under Leishmania donovani. RNAcentral's name for it is "gene:LdHU3.08.1230(CDS-product:hypothetical_prote in_conserved)". The record is from RNAcentral. Lineage: Eukaryota; Euglenozoa; Kinetoplastea; Trypanosomatida; Trypanosomatidae.
CUGAACAGCUCUCCCAUUGUCGCAACGCAGCCGCGUCCUCCACCUGACCUUUGUUUCUUUCCUCUUGAUCGAAGCUGUCCAUGCCCGCGCCGCCACAUCGCCCGGCAGCGGGCUUGGGACGGUGGAUCACGGUAGCGGCAGGGAGGCCUCUGUCGCCCGCCGUCGCCAUGCCCCAGCGCAUAGCUUUCGUGCCGCCGCUGGCGGCUUCGCUGAGCGUGAACAGGCGAUUCGUGUCGACGAUGAGCGACAGGGCUGAUGCACGCGGGACCUGCAACAGCGGCAAGUUCGACUUCUUCGGCGCCUAUCGCGCGUUCCGGCGGGAGCGCAGUGCCAACCGUAGCAGGCAGUACACGACGUUGUCCAUGUAUCUGGAUAUGCUACCGCCCGGCUUUCGCGAGCUGCUCCUGUGGUCCCCGCUACUUGCGCUGCUGCACUUCAUGUGUCGACAGGCCCGGGUCUACUACCUCGACGAGGAGGAGCCGUGGUAUUACGUAGCACUUCCGCGACGGUGGCGUUGUCGGGUCGACGGGGAGGGCAGCAGCGCGACGGCGCAUGUGUCGUCGCUGCUAAAGCGCGCGCCGCCCUCCUCGAUGCCGACGACGUCUGUUGUGGUUGAGGCGCAUAACCCCUCCGCGCCGCACUCUUUGCCGAACACAGGCCGAGGGGCUAAUAGCCAGGGGGGCGGAUCGACGACGACCAUCGUCACUACAACGUGUGCGUUUCGCGCUGCUAGUGUGCAGGACGACGCCGCCGCCGUGGCGGGCGCCCCACUCGCCGGCUCGCCCCCGGUCGCUUCCUUCCACGAAGUUCGCGCCCGUCGUGUUCACGCGGAUCAGGGUGCACCGCCUGUAACGACCGCGUCAACUCCACCGCUGGAGGAGACGUACCGCUACGGUGUGUGGGGUGCUCCGCUGGUCGUGAUUCGUAACCCGGCUACACAGCGUGUGAUUGGGUACACGACGGCAGGGUAGGCCCCACUGCGCUUCCGUCCGCCCUCCAUUGUCUUCCCUCCUUUCUCUUCACGCCUGACACGCCGCACGAGUGCGUGACGCUCACGUGCGUCGUUGUAGAAAGCGGAGGCCACAUGACGGGGCGUCUUCCCCUCCCUCACCAUCUACAUCGGUGUGGGAUGGCGCGCCUGCGCGUCAGGCACGUGCACAGAUGAGCGCAUGCAAUCGUGUGAUGGGCCUUCGCCGUGCUUCGUCGAGUAUCAAAG